UACGGAGGGUGCGAGCGUUAAUCGGAAUAACUGGGCGUAAAGGGCACGCAGGCGGGCUGUUAAGUGAGAUGUGAAAUCCCCGGGCUUAACCUGGGAAUAGCAUUUCAGACUUGCAGUCUAGAGUACGUUAGGGAGGGGUAGAAUUCCACGUGUAGCGGUGGAAUGCGUAGAGAUGUGGAGGAAUACCGAAGGCGAAGGCAGCCCCCUGGGAAUGUACUGACGCUCAUGUGCGAAAGCGUGGGGAGCAAACAGG
Molecule: ribosomal RNA, 253 nt
Filed under: uncultured bacterium
Lineage: Bacteria
Description: partial 16S ribosomal RNA
Rfam family: Bacterial small subunit ribosomal RNA
Source: RNAcentral